CAGGCAGGACUAGACCUCUCCUGCAGUCCCUUUUAUGCCACCCAGGCAAGGAGAACUCCGCAAGUCCUUUGUGCUCCACUCCUGACUCAUGAUCCAGAGAUGCCGUGGCAAGCCCAGCUCUUGGUCCUGUGUUCCAGACUCCUGUCCAUCAGUGGCACAGUAAGGAUUUGAUUUUUAUUCUUUUUUGAGUACUGGCUUGAUUUCUGGUGCUGGCUUCUUUCAGUUUUAUGGUAUGAAAUUUGGAUGAACUCUUUCAGAAGCAAAGGGAAGCUUUCCUCUCUGAUCAAAGAAUGAAGAGAAACACCUAAUAUGAAAUACCUGAUUCCUUGCACCACAGGAUUAGCUUUGGGAGCCAGUCUGCAUCACUGCCUCCUGAAAUGAGACAUCAUUAUUUCCGGGAAUUGACCUGUUCUCAGAACUAAGAAACUUGUUCAGCGAAAAGGACUCUGCUAACACUCUCUGCGGCCAGCAGCUCAGCGGCUAACAUGUGAGACUUUGGGGAGUUUCAGAGGCAGGCACUGGUGGGGCCCAGGGCAGGCUGCUUCACAGACUUACUGUUCCUUUGUCCAAAAGGUAUAAAGGCUGCCUGCUUUGGCCACUUCUUAGGUCUCAUCUCUAUGAGACCUCCAUGCGCAUGAAUUAAAAAUGUU
Non-coding RNA from Vicugna pacos (alpaca), 650 nucleotides. Lineage: Eukaryota; Metazoa; Chordata; Mammalia; Artiodactyla; Camelidae. The record is from RefSeq and is a predicted model, not a curated record.